Molecule: ribosomal RNA, 257 nt
Filed under: uncultured bacterium
Lineage: Bacteria
Description: partial 16S ribosomal RNA
Rfam family: Bacterial small subunit ribosomal RNA
Source: RNAcentral
UACGUAGGGUGCAAGCGUUGUCCGGAAUUAUUGGGCGUAAAGAGCUCGUAGGCGGUUUGUCGCGUCUGCUGUGAAAACCCGAGGCUCAACCUCGGGCCUGCAGUGGGUACGGGCAGACUAGAGUGCGGUAGGGGAGACUGGAAUUCCUGGUGUAGCGGUGGAAUGCGCAGAUAUCAGGAGGAACACCGAUGGCGAAGGCAGGUCUCUGGGCCAUUAACUGACACUGAGAAGCGGAAAGCAUGGGGGAGCGAACAGGA